RNAcentral lists this ribosomal RNA (270 nucleotides) under uncultured bacterium. Its description in RNAcentral is "partial 16S ribosomal RNA". It matches the Rfam family "Bacterial small subunit ribosomal RNA", at positions 85 to 354 of the family's 1533-position model. The record is from RNAcentral.
CCGCCGGCGACCGGCGCACGGGUGAGUAACACGUAUGCAACCUGCCCCUGUCAGGGGGACAACCCGCCGAAAGGCGGGCUAAACCCGCGUACAUGCCACCGGGGCAUCCCGGAGGCAGGAAAGGCUUCGGCCGGACAGGGAUGGGCAUGCAGCGCAUUAGGCAGUAGGCGGGGUAACGGCCCACCUAACCGACGAUGCGUAGGGGUUCUGAGAGGAAGGUCCCCCACACUGGUACUGAGACACGGACCAGACUCCUACGGAAGGCAGCAG